GGGUGUAGCUCAGUUGGUUAGAGCGCCGGCCUGUCACGCCGGAGGUCGCGGGUUCAAGUCCCGUCACUC
This 69-nucleotide transfer RNA is filed under the name Alphaproteobacteria bacterium HGW-Alphaproteobacteria-14. RNAcentral's name for it is "tRNA-Asp". It matches the Rfam family "tRNA". From Rfam's summary of the family: Transfer RNA (tRNA) molecules are approximately 80 nucleotides in length. Their secondary structure includes four short double-helical elements and three loops (D, anti-codon, and T loops). The record is from RNAcentral. Lineage: Bacteria; Pseudomonadati; Pseudomonadota; Alphaproteobacteria. RNAcentral also lists the same sequence under 1 other name.